CCCGGUGGUAAAUCUUAACGGCCGCAGUUGAUAGCUGUGCUAAGGUAGCAUAAUAAGUUGUCCUUUAAAUGAGGAAAGGAAUGAAUGGUUUGACGUAAGAAUGACUGUCUCUAAAGGAGGUAAGGAAUUUUUCUUCUUAGUGAAAAGUCUAAGAAAAAAUUAAAAGACGAGAAGACCCUGUUGAGCUUAACUUACUGGUUUAUUUUAAAAGCAGGAAAAUUUGGUUGGGGCAACUAAGGAGCAAGUGGAGCCUCCUUAAUGACUAUGUGGAUCCAGAAAUUUUGAACAAAGAAAAAGCUACCACAGGGAUAACAGCGUUAUCUUUUCUGAGAGAACAAAUUGAAGGAAAG
This 350-nucleotide ribosomal RNA is filed under the name Divariscintilla sp. M301615. RNAcentral describes it as "partial 16S ribosomal RNA". It matches the Rfam family "Bacterial large subunit ribosomal RNA", at positions 1862 to 2515 of the family's 2925-position model. Lineage: Eukaryota; Metazoa; Mollusca; Bivalvia; Galeommatida; Galeommatidae. The record is from RNAcentral.